Molecule: non-coding RNA, 697 nt
Organism: Pseudopodoces humilis (Tibetan ground-tit)
Lineage: Eukaryota; Metazoa; Chordata; Aves; Passeriformes; Paridae
Source: RefSeq, a predicted model, not a curated record
CUCGGAGGCGGCCCCGGCCAUCGCAGGUCGAAGAUUCAGAAUGGAUAAUGAAGCCUCUGUGCCCAUCAGGAAAGGCCUCCUCUGGAUCCAGAGCCACCCUGAAUGUUCCCAAGGGCUGCAGUGUGGAUUUUUCAUUCCCAAGGCAUACCAGGAUGGAGGAAGAGGAAAAGCCCUGGAAAUUCUGCACAAGGAGGGACUGCAAACCCAGCCCAGGGAGCUGUGUGGAGGAAAGACCCACCUUGUGAUGGGAAGGUGGACAGAUAUCGAGCUGGAGGAGAAGCUACACAAGUGCCUGGAAUGUGGGAAGGGUUUCAGCUAGAUCUCCAACCUGAUCUGGAACCAGGAAACCCACUCUGUAGGAAAGUCCUACGAGUGUGGGGAAUGUGGGAUGAACCUCAGGAACAUCCCUACUCUGUCUGAACAUCAGGUGAUCCAUGCUGGGGAACAGCCCUACAUCUGCUUGGAAUGUCAGAAGAGAUCUGGGUGGACCUCUGCCCUGAGAAAACACCAGCACAUCCACAAUGGGGAGAGGCCCCACGAGUGCCCCGAGUGUGGGAAGAGCUUCGUGCGCUGCUCCAGCUCCAUCCCCCAUGGAAGGAUCCAUGUUGGAUGAUCCCCAGGGAUCCCUGUUGGGCAGAGCCCUGGGGAUUCCUGUUCCAGGUGACCCCUAUUGGGUUUAGAGAAGGUGUUAGAGAGA